CGCGUAGGCGGCUUGGCAAGUCAGAUGUGAAAGCCCCGGGCUUAACCCGGGAAUUGCAUCUGAAACUGCUUUGCUUGAGUCCUGGAGGGGGUAGUGGAAUUCCCAGUGUAGCGGUGAAAUGCGUAGAUAUUGGGAGGAACACCUGCGGCGAAGGCGGCUACCUGGACAGUGACUGACGCUGAGGCGCGAAAGCUAGGGGAGCGAACGG
Molecule: ribosomal RNA, 208 nt
Filed under: uncultured Acidobacteriota bacterium
Lineage: Bacteria; Pseudomonadati; Acidobacteriota
Description: uncultured Acidobacteria bacterium partial 16S ribosomal RNA
Rfam family: Bacterial small subunit ribosomal RNA
Source: RNAcentral